UUAAGCGACUAAGCGUACACGGUGGAUGCCCUGGCAGUCAGAGGCGAUGAAGGACGUGCUAAUCUGCGAUAAGCGUCGGUGAGGUGAUAUGAACCGUUAUAACCGGCGAUUUCCGAAUGGGGAAACCCAGUGUGAUUCGACACACUAUCAUUAACUGAAUCCAUAGGUUAAUGAGGCGAACCGGGGGAACUGAAACAUCUAAGUACCCCGAGGAAAAGAAAUCAACCGAGAUUCCCCCAGUAGCGGCGAGCGAACGGGGAGGAGCCCAGAGCCUGAAUCAGUGUGUGUGUUAGUGGAAGCGUCUGGAAAGGCGCGCGAUACAGGGUGACAGCCCCGUACACAAAAAUGCACAUACUGUGAGCUCGAUGAGUAGGGCGGGACACGUGGUAUCCUGUCUGAAUAUGGGGGGACCAUCCUCCAAGGCUAAAUACUCCUGACUGACCGAUAGUGAACCAGUACCGUGAGGGAAAGGCGAAAAGAACCCCGGCGAGGGGAGUGAAAAAGAACCUGAAACCGUGUACGUACAAGCAGUGGGAGCCUCUUAAUGGGGUGACUGCGUACCUUUUGUAUAAUGGGUCAGCGACUUAUAUUCUGUAGCAAGGUUAACCGAAUAGGGGAGCCGAAGGGAAACCGAGUCUUAACUGGGCGUUAAGUUGCAGGGUAUAGACCCGAAACCCGGUGAUCUAGCCAUGGGCAGGUUGAAGGUUGGGUAACACUAACUGGAGGACCGAACCGACUAAUGUUGAAAAAUUAGCGGAUGACUUGUGGCUGGGGGUGAAAGGCCAAUCAAACCGGGAGAUAGCUGGUUCUCCCCGAAAGCUAUUUAGGUAGCGCCUCGUGAAUUCAUCUCCGGGGGUAGAGCACUGUUUCGGCAAGGGGGUCAUCCCGACUUACCAACCCGAUGCAAACUGCGAAUACCGGAGAAUGUUAUCACGGGAGACACACGGCGGGUGCUAACGUCCGUCGUGAAGAGGGAAACAACCCAGACCGCCAGCUAAGGUCCCAAAGUCAUGGUUAAGUGGGAAACGAUGUGGGAAGGCCCAGACAGCCAGGAUGUUGGCUUAGAAGCAGCCAUCAUUUAAAGAAAGCGUAAUAGCUCACUGGUCGAGUCGGCCUGCGCGGAAGAUGUAACGGGGCUAAACCAUGCACCGAAGCUGCGGCAGCGACACUAUGUGUUGUUGGGUAGGGGAGCGUUCUGUAAGCCUGUGAAGGUGGACUGUGAGGUAUGCUGGAGGUAUCAGAAGUGCGAAUGCUGACAUAAGUAACGAUAAAGCGGGUGAAAAGCCCGCUCGCCGGAAGACCAAGGGUUCCUGUCCAACGUUAAUCGGGGCAGGGUGAGUCGACCCCUAAGGCGAGGCCGAAAGGCGUAGUCGAUGGGAAACAGGUUAAUAUUCCUGUACUUGGUGUUACUGCGAAGGGGGGACGGAGAAGGCUAUGUUGGCCGGGCGACGGUUGUCCCGGUUUAAGCGUGUAGGCUGGUUUUCCAGGCAAAUCCGGAAAAUCAAGGCUGAGGCGUGAUGACGAGGCACUACGGUGCUGAAGCGACAAAUGCCCUGCUUCCAGGAAAAGCCUCUAAGCAUCAGGUAACAUCAAAUCGUACCCCAAACCGACACAGGUGGUCAGGUAGAGAAUACCAAGGCGCUUGAGAGAACUCGGGUGAAGGAACUAGGCAAAAUGGUGCCGUAACUUCGGGAGAAGGCACGCUGAUAUGUAGGUGAAGCGACUUGCUCGUGGAGCUGAAAUCAGUCGAAGAUACCAGCUGGCUGCAACUGUUUAUUAAAAACACAGCACUGUGCAAACACGAAAGUGGACGUAUACGGUGUGACGCCUGCCCGGUGCCGGAAGGUUAAUUGAUGGGGUUAGCGGUAACGCGAAGCUCUUGAUCGAAGCCCCGGUAAACGGCGGCCGUAACUAUAACGGUCCUAAGGUAGCGAAAUUCCUUGUCGGGUAAGUUCCGACCUGCACGAAUGGCGUAAUGAUGGCCAGGCUGUCUCCACCCGAGACUCAGUGAAAUUGAACUCGCUGUGAAGAUGCAGUGUACCCGCGGCAAGACGGAAAGACCCCGUGAACCUUUACUAUAGCUUGACACUGAACAUUGAGCCUUGAUGUGUAGGAUAGGUGGGAGGCUUUGAAGUGUGGACGCCAGUCUGCAUGGAGCCGACCUUGAAAUACCACCCUUUAAUGUUUGAUGUUCUAACGUGGGCCCCUUACCGGGGUUGCGGACAGUGUCUGGUGGGUAGUUUGACUGGGGCGGUCUCCUCCUAAAGAGUAACGGAGGAGCACGAAGGUUGGCUAAUCCUGGUCGGACAUCAGGAGGUUAGUGCAAUGGCAUAAGCCAGCUUGACUGCGAGCGUGACGGCGCGAGCAGGUGCGAAAGCAGGUCAUAGUGAUCCGGUGGUUCUGAAUGGAAGGGCCAUCGCUCAACGGAUAAAAGGUACUCCGGGGAUAACAGGCUGAUACCGCCCAAGAGUUCAUAUCGACGGCGGUGUUUGGCACCUCGAUGUCGGCUCAUCACAUCCUGGGGCUGAAGUAGGUCCCAAGGGUAUGGCUGUUCGCCAUUUAAAGUGGUACGCGAGCUGGGUUUAGAACGUCGUGAGACAGUUCGGUCCCUAUCUGCCGUGGGCGCUGGAGAACUGAGGGGGGCUGCUCCUAGUACGAGAGGACCGGAGUGGACGCAUCACUGGUGUUCGGGUUGUCAUGCCAAUGGCACUGCCCGGUAGCUAAAUGCGGAAGAGAUAAGUGCUGAAAGCAUCUAAGCACGAAACUUGCCCCGAGAUGAGUUCUCCCUGACUCCUUGAGAGUCCUGAAGGAACGUUGAAGACGACGACGUUGAUAGGCCGGGUGUGUAAGCGCAGCGAUGCGUUGAGCUAACCGGUACUAAUGAACCGUGAGGCUUAACCUU
This 2902-nucleotide ribosomal RNA is filed under the name Escherichia coli HVH 146 (4-3189767). RNAcentral describes it as "bacterial LSU rRNA". It matches the Rfam family "Bacterial large subunit ribosomal RNA". The record is from RNAcentral. Lineage: Bacteria; Pseudomonadati; Pseudomonadota; Gammaproteobacteria; Enterobacterales; Enterobacteriaceae.